Molecule: unclassified non-coding RNA, 213 nt
Filed under: Dactylonectria macrodidyma
Lineage: Eukaryota; Fungi; Ascomycota; Sordariomycetes; Hypocreales; Nectriaceae
Description: partial internal transcribed spacer region
Rfam family: Eukaryotic small subunit ribosomal RNA (bases 1-46)
Source: RNAcentral
AAGUCGUAACAAGGUCUCCGUUGGUGAACCAGCGGAGGGAUCAUUACCGAGUUUACAACUCCCAAACCCCUGUGAACAUACCUAUUUGUUGCCUCGGCGGUGCCUGUUCCGACAGCCCGCCAGAGGACCCCAAACCCUGAUUACAUUUAAGAAGUCUUCUGAGUAAACCGAUUAAAUAAAUCAAAACUUUCAACAACGGAUCUCUUGGCUCUG